RNAcentral lists this ribosomal RNA (425 nucleotides) under uncultured bacterium. Its description in RNAcentral is "partial 16S ribosomal RNA". It matches the Rfam family "Bacterial small subunit ribosomal RNA", at positions 354 to 796 of the family's 1533-position model. The record is from RNAcentral.
GUGGGGAAUAUUGGACAAUGGGCGCAAGCCUGAUCCAGCCAUGCCGCGUGAGUGAUGAAGGCCUUAGGGUUGUAAAGCUCUUUCAGUGGGGACGAUAAUGACGGUACCCACAGAAGAAGCCCAGGCUAACUUCGUGCCAGCAGCCGCGGUAAUACGAAGGGGGCUAGCGUUGUUCGGAUUUACUGGGCGUAAAGCGCACGUAGGCGGAUCGUUAAGUCGGGGGUGAAAUCCUGGAGCUCAACUCCAGAACUGCCUUCGAUACUGGCGAUCUUGAGUCCGGAAGAGGUGAGUGGAACUCCUAGUGUAGAGGUGGAAUUCGUAGAUAUUAGGAAGAACACCAGUGGCGAAGGCGGCUCACUGGUCCGGUACUGACGCUGAGGUGCGAAAGCGUGGGGAGCAAACAGGAUUAGAUACCCGUGUAGUCC